UAAUUUUGAGGACGAAAUUCUUAGAAGAAGGGGUAAAUGUGACAACUCAAAAAUUUAUAAGAUUAAUAAAAUCUUGAAUGAUUAAACAAAGGUUAAAUAAUAAAACCUAGACUAGAAAUAUAGUACUGAUUAUGAAUUUUGCGAAGAAUUUGUAUGAUUUAUUAACUGAAAGGGAUUAUCUUAUAGCGAGGUAUAUGAUUUUGGGUAUUGUGAUUAUGUGUAUGUUCAGUAUGUGAUUAAGGGUUAAGUGUGGAGUAGAUAAAUUAUAACAUUGGUAAACCCUAAUGUUAUAUUAAGAACCCUAAUGUUCAAUUAGGAAACCCUAACGAUUGGUUAGACACCUUAAUUCCAGUUUUGGAAACCUUAAACCCUAAUCAAGAAUUCUAAAUCCUAAUUUGCAUACCCUAAUACUAAGUAUCAAACCCUAAGGGUUAAGAGUUAUGUGAAUCAUGUUAAAUGGCCAAACUACCCUUAAAAUUAUGGGGGAAAUUACCAAAAUACCCUUUUACUUAACUUUUAAGUAAAUGAUAUAACCAAAUCUUGGUCAGUCAUCAAUCUAGAUCUCACAUGUGCUCUAAAUCAACUUCAAUCAACCAAUAUUGGACACCUAGCAACAACUACAACCAUUGAAUCAAAGAUAGAAAAUUAAAGUAAGAAAAGUCUUUACUUUUAUGUUCAUAAGCCAAGACUCUCACACUCUCUCUCCUAGAUAACUAAGUUUCUUAUGAAACUCAGUCCUAAGUUAAGUAAGAAUCACCCCAUAAGCAUAGAAGAUUCAGAUCAAGGAGUAAAAAUCAAAAGUUGGAUCAAGAAGGUAUAAACCCUAAUUCAUGUUAGAUCUUUAAGAUCUCAGUAGAUUAUGUGUUUUUUUGUUUAAAUGUGUGUUAUGUGAUGUUAUUUAGUGAUCGAUGAUGAUAUAUCAUGGAUCCAUAACAUCUAAGGGCAUGAAAAUAAGGAUUUUAUAAACUGACAAGAACCCUAGAAAUAUGGCCUGACAAUCAAAUGUCAAAGAGCUUAGAUCUUAAUCUGUUAAAUGUUAGACAUCCUAAGUGUAUCCUUGUUAAAGUUUUUCAUGAGGAGAGUAAUCUAGAAGUGGAAUAAUGUCCAUACCAUGUCCAAAUCUCAUGUUAUUAAUGGUCAAACAUGGUUGACCAAUCAUGAAAAUGAAAAUCUGGAAAACCCAGAAUUUGCCCAGAAAUGUCUGACAACAUGUUUAGGGGCUUAGAUCUUACAUAUGUUAUGUUGUUAGCUUGGUUAACAAUAUCAUUGAUAUACCCUGAUAUAUGGACUAUAGAACCAUGACACUAAACACCUAAAUCAUCAACAAGAUCAAAGUUAUUAAUGGACAAACUGGGUUGACCAAGCACAGAAAGUUAUUUCUGGAAAUUCCAGAAAUUUCCUAAAACAGUUUCUGACACCCUUUUGACUAGCC
RNAcentral lists this long non-coding RNA (1432 nucleotides) under Panax ginseng (ginseng). RNAcentral describes it as "long non-coding RNA (PGIN_LNC013407)". The record is from RNAcentral. Lineage: Eukaryota; Viridiplantae; Streptophyta; Magnoliopsida; Apiales; Araliaceae.